Molecule: long non-coding RNA, 203 nt
Filed under: Lathyrus oleraceus (garden pea)
Lineage: Eukaryota; Viridiplantae; Streptophyta; Magnoliopsida; Fabales; Fabaceae
Description: Pisum sativum (pea) long non-coding RNA (PSAT_LNC035687)
Source: RNAcentral
UGAUAUAGUUGAUUAGGGUCAGAGGUUGUUGUGAAAUUACGAGCAAUUUUUAGAACAGGUGGAGGUUGAGAGGUUCUGAUGGUUGAAGGAGGGAUUUCAGAGGUUGUAAAUAAUGGAGGUGUUGGGAGAGGAGUAGAAGAGGCCAUCAUAGGUAUUACAGAAGUAACAGGAGGAAUAGACUUACCAGAAGAAGAGAUUUUCAG